This 634-nucleotide long non-coding RNA is filed under the name Eucalyptus grandis. Its description in RNAcentral is "long non-coding RNA (EGRA_LNC004714)". The record is from RNAcentral. Lineage: Eukaryota; Viridiplantae; Streptophyta; Magnoliopsida; Myrtales; Myrtaceae.
GGUUAUGUUGCAAGAAUCCUUGAUGUCCCGUAUUAGUAGAUCAGACCCAUACAAAGCCUAUGAGCAUGCCUUCAUUUGGGAAAAAUUAGGGGGUGUAUCAGAAAGGGAUGCUUCCUCAAUACAUGGUUCAGUAUUGAUAUACAAAGCAGAAGCAACGGGCUGUGAGCACUUCAUGAAGACCACCGGAUCAGCUAAGGGCGAAAGACCACCACGGUAUGGAUCAUGAGCACUAAAGUUGGACCUCGCCAAUGAUUGACGAGGGAGGGAUGAGCAAUUACCUUUUUGCAAUCCAUCGUCAACCACCGUGAUUGUACCAAAAAAAUCAUAUAAAUCAUCUACAUCCAAAUAGUUAAUCAACUUCACAUAAUAUCGACCGGCAUAUAAAUAUAGAAAAGUAUGAUUAUUUUCACAAACUAGCUCAUACUCAGAGCGGCCGCAGUGUUUUGGGUCACUUUUCAAUCGAAAGGGAUAGUGUAUAUCACGAAUCUCACCACAAGAUGAAGCAGUGCACAAGUGAUUCUUCUUCGCACCGCAACUCAUCCCCAGUAACAGCAGGACAUGCAAUAUGAAAAGCAAAACACGAAACAUGCUUGUGGAGCUCAAAGACUUAAUGGUUUCUCUAUCGUUUGAUCUG